RNAcentral lists this ribosomal RNA (484 nucleotides) under uncultured bacterium. RNAcentral describes it as "partial 16S ribosomal RNA". It matches the Rfam family "Bacterial small subunit ribosomal RNA", at positions 29 to 507 of the family's 1533-position model. The record is from RNAcentral.
AUUGAACGCUGGCGGCAUGCUUUACACAUGCCAGUCGAACGGCAGCGCGGGCUUCGGCCUGGCGGCGAGUGGCGAACGGGUGAGUAAUACAUCGGAACGUGCCCAGUAGUGGGGGAUAGCUCGGCGAAAGCCGGAUUAAUACCGCAUACGACCUGAGGGUGAAAGCGGGGGAUCUUCGGACCUCGCGCUAUUGGAGCGGCCGAUGGCAGAUUAGCUAGUUGGAGGGGUAAAGGCCUACCAAGGCGACGAUCUGUAGCUGGUCUGAGAGGACGACCAGCCACACUGGGACUGAGACACGGCCCAGACUCCUACGGGAGGCAGCAGUGGGGAAUUUUGGACAAUGGGCGAAAGCCUGAUCCAGCAAUGCCGCGUGUGUGAUGAAGGCCUUCGGGUUGUAAAGCACUCUUGGCGGGAACGAAAAGGACUGUGCCAAUACCACGGUUCGAUGACGGUACCCGCAGAAUAAGCACCGGCUAACUACGUG